CCUACGGGAGGCAGCAGUGAGGAAUAUUGGUCAAUGGACGCAAGUCUGAACCAGCCAAGUCGCGUGCAGGAAGACGGCCCUAUGAGUUGUAAACUGCUUUUGUACGAGAGUAAACGGAUCCACGUGUAUGUGUCUGAAAGUAUCGUACGAAUAAGGAUCGGCUAACUCCGUGCCAGCAGCCGCGGUAAUACGGAGGAUUCCAGCGUUAUCCGGAUUUAUUGGGUUUAAAGGGGGCGUAGGUGGUCGGAUAAGUUAGAGGUGAAAUCUUGAGGCUCAACUUCGGAAUUGCCGUUGAAACUGUUCGUCUUGAGAGUAGUAGAGGUAGGCGGAAUGCGUGGUGUAGCGGUGAAAUGCUUAGAGAUCACGCAGAACUCCGAUUGCGAAGGCAGCUUACCGGCCUACAACUGACGCUGAGGCACGAAAGCGUGGGGAUCGAACAGGAUUAGAUACCCCUGUAGUC
RNAcentral lists this ribosomal RNA (460 nucleotides) under uncultured bacterium. Its description in RNAcentral is "partial 16S ribosomal RNA". It matches the Rfam family "Bacterial small subunit ribosomal RNA", at positions 338 to 795 of the family's 1533-position model. The record is from RNAcentral.